RNAcentral lists this ribosomal RNA (253 nucleotides) under uncultured bacterium. RNAcentral describes it as "partial 16S ribosomal RNA". It matches the Rfam family "Bacterial small subunit ribosomal RNA", at positions 524 to 776 of the family's 1533-position model. The record is from RNAcentral.
UACGAAGGGGGCUAGCGUUGUUCGGAAUUACUGGGCGUAAAGCGCGCGCAGGCGGUCUUCCAAGUCAGUGGCGAAAGCCCGGAGCUCAACUCCGGAAUUGCCAUUGAAACUGUUAGACUUGAGGAUGAGAGAGGUGAGUGGAAUUCCCAGUGUAGAGGUGAAAUUCGUAGAUAUUGGGAAGAACACCGGUGGCGAAGGCGGCUCACUGGCUCAUUACUGACGCUGAGGAGCGAAAGCGUGGGGAGCGAACAGG